GAAACAUCUUAGUACCCGGAGGAAGAGAAAGAAAAUUCGAUUCCCUUAGUAGCGGCGAGCGAAACGGGAAGAGCCCAAACCAACAAGCUUGCUUGUUGGGGUUGUAGGACACUCUAUACGGAGUUACAAAGGACGACAUUAGACGAAUCAUCUGGAAAGAUGAAUCAAAGAAGGUAAUAAUCCUGUAGUCGAAAAUGUUGUCUCUCUUGAGUGGAUCCUGAGUACGACGGAGCACGUGAAAUUCCGUCGGAAUCUGGGAGGACCAUCUCCUAAGGCUAAAUACUCUCUAGUGACCGAUAGUGAACCAGUACCGUGAGGGAAAGGUGAAAAGCACCCCGGAAGGGGAGUGAAAUAGAACCUGAAACCGUGUGCUUACAAGUAGUCAGAGCCCGUUAAUGGGUGAUGGCGUGCCUUUUGUAGAAUGAACCGGCGAGUUACGAUUUGAUGCAAGGUUAAGCAGUAAAUGUGGAGCCGUA
This 476-nucleotide ribosomal RNA is filed under the name Staphylococcus aureus. RNAcentral describes it as "partial 23S ribosomal RNA". It matches the Rfam family "Bacterial large subunit ribosomal RNA", at positions 195 to 670 of the family's 2925-position model. The record is from RNAcentral. Lineage: Bacteria; Bacillati; Bacillota; Bacilli; Caryophanales; Staphylococcaceae.